This 125-nucleotide small RNA is filed under the name Marmota monax (woodchuck). Lineage: Eukaryota; Metazoa; Chordata; Mammalia; Rodentia; Sciuridae. The record is from RNAcentral.
GCUGGAUGUGGUGGUGCACACCUGUAAUCCCAGUAACUUGGGAAGCUAAGGAAGGAGAUUCACAAGUUUAAGGCCACCAUCAGCAGUUUAGUGAGACCUUAAGUGACAGUGAGAAUCUGUCUCAA